Molecule: ribosomal RNA, 746 nt
Filed under: uncultured bacterium
Lineage: Bacteria
Description: bacterial SSU rRNA
Rfam family: Bacterial small subunit ribosomal RNA
Source: RNAcentral
UGCAAGUCGAACGGCAGCACGGGAGCAAUCCUGGUGGCGAGUGGCGAACGGGUGAGUAAUAUAUCGGAACGUGCCCAGUCGUGGGGGAUAACGCAGCGAAAGCUGUGCUAAUACCGCAUACGAUCUAUGGAUGAAAGCGGGGGAUCGCAAGACCUCGCGCGAUUGGAGCGGCCGAUAUCAGAUUAGGUAGUUGGKGGGGUAAAAGCCCACCAAGCCGACGAUCUGUAGCUGGUCUGAGAGGACGACCAGCCACACUGGAACUGAGACACGGUCCAGACUCCUACGGGAGGCAGCAGUGGGGAAUUUUGGACAAUGGGCGCAAGCCUGAUCCAGCAAUGCCGCGUGCAGGAUGAAGGCCUUCGGGUUGUAAACUGCUUUUGUACGGAACGAAACGGUCCUUUCUAAUACAAGGGGCUAAUGACGGUACCGUAAGAAUAAGCACCGGCUAACUACGUGCCAGCAGCCGCGGUAAUACGUAGGGUGCGAGCGUUAAUCGGAAUUACUGGGCGUAAAGCGUGCGCAGGCGGUUUUGUAAGACAGAUGUGAAAUCCCCGGGCUCAACCUGGGACCUGCAUUUGUGACUGCAAGGCUAGAGUACGGUAGAGGGGGAUGGAAUUCCGCGUGUAGCAGUGAAAUGCGUAGAUAUGCGGAGGAACACCGAUGGCGAAGGCAAUCCCCKGGACCUGUACUGACGCUCAUGCACGAAAGCGUGGGGAGCAAACAGGAUUAGAUACCCUGGUAGUCCA